RNAcentral lists this ribosomal RNA (125 nucleotides) under Staphylococcus agnetis. Its description in RNAcentral is "partial 16S ribosomal RNA". It matches the Rfam family "Bacterial small subunit ribosomal RNA", at positions 1 to 120 of the family's 1533-position model. Lineage: Bacteria; Bacillati; Bacillota; Bacilli; Caryophanales; Staphylococcaceae. The record is from RNAcentral.
UUUAUGGAGAGUUUGAUCCUGGCUCAGGAUGAACGCUGGCGGCGUGCCUAAUACAUGCAAGUCGAGCGAACUGACGAGGAGCUUGCUCCUUUGACGUUAGCGGCGGACGGGUGAGUAACACGUGG